RNAcentral lists this ribosomal RNA (508 nucleotides) under uncultured bacterium. RNAcentral's name for it is "partial 16S ribosomal RNA". It matches the Rfam family "Bacterial small subunit ribosomal RNA", at positions 28 to 507 of the family's 1533-position model. The record is from RNAcentral.
GACGAACGCUGGCGGCGUGCCUAAUACAUGCAAGUCGAACGCUUCUUUCCUCCCGAGUGCUUGCACUCAAUUGGAAAGAGGAGUGGCGGACGGGUGAGUAACACGUGGGUAACCUACCCAUCAGAGGGGGAUAACACUUGGAAACAGGUGCUAAUACCGCAUAACAGUUUAUGCCGCAUGGCAUAAGAGUGAAAGGCGCUUCCGGGUGUCGUUGAUGGAUGGACCCGCGGUGCAUUAGCUAGUUGGUGAGGUAACGGCUCACCAAGGCCACGAUGCAUAGCCGACCUGAGAGGGUGAUCGGCCACACUGGGACUGAGACACGGCCCAGACUCCUACGGGAGGCAGCAGUAGGGAAUCUUCGGCAAUGGACGAAAGUCUGACCGAGCAACGCCGCGUGAGUGAAGAAGGUUUUCGGAUCGUAAAACUCUGUUGUUAGAGAAGAACAAGGACGUUAGUAACUGAACGUCCCCUGACGGUAUCUAACCAGAAAGCCACGGCUAACUACGUG